GUGCUCGUUUCAGCAGCACAUAUAAUAAAAUCGGAGUGAUACAGAAAAGAUUAGCAUGGCCCCUGCGCAAGGAUGACAUGCAGAUGAAUUCCACCACAUUGGA
This 103-nucleotide small nuclear RNA is filed under the name Vicugna pacos (alpaca). The record is from RNAcentral. Lineage: Eukaryota; Metazoa; Chordata; Mammalia; Artiodactyla; Camelidae.